RNAcentral lists this ribosomal RNA (253 nucleotides) under uncultured bacterium. RNAcentral describes it as "partial 16S ribosomal RNA". It matches the Rfam family "Bacterial small subunit ribosomal RNA", at positions 524 to 776 of the family's 1533-position model. The record is from RNAcentral.
GACGGAGGAUGCAAGUGUUAUCCGGAAUCCCUGGGCGUAAAGCGUCUGUAGGUGGUUUAAAAAGUCCACUGUUAAAGAUUGAAGCUUAACUUCAAAAAUGCCGUGGAAACUUUUAAACUUGAGUAUGAUAGGGGUAGAGGGAAUUUCCAGUGGAGCGGUGAAAUGCGUAGAUAUUGGAAAGACCACCAAUGGCGAAGGCACUCUACUGGGCCAUUACUGACACUGAGAGACGAAAGCUAGGGGAGCAAAUGGG